GCAGAGUAGAAAACCGCGCGUUAAGUGCUGUCGGGACGGGGAGUUGCCCGGCGGACGAAGAAAAUUUCGCGGUGCGGUUUUCGCAUCCCGCUGC
This 94-nucleotide non-coding RNA is filed under the name bovine gut metagenome. Its description in RNAcentral is "THF riboswitch". It matches the Rfam family "THF (Tetrahydrofolate) riboswitch aptamer". From Rfam's summary of the family: THF riboswitch presents a pseudoknot that joins P1-P2 and the loop of P3 and two THF binding. The record is from RNAcentral.